Molecule: ribosomal RNA, 466 nt
Filed under: uncultured bacterium
Lineage: Bacteria
Description: partial 16S ribosomal RNA
Rfam family: Bacterial small subunit ribosomal RNA
Source: RNAcentral
AACGAACGCUGGCGGUAUGCUUAACACAUGCAAGUCGAACGAACAAAAUUGGGGCUUGCUCCAAUUUGAGUGAGUGGCAAACGGGUGAGUAACACGUGGGAAUCUACCUAUCAGUACGGAAUAACAUUUGGAAACAGAUGCUAAUACCGUAUAUUCUCCAAGGAGGAAAGAUUUAUCGCUGAUAGAUGAGCCCGCGUAAGAUUAGGUAGUUGGUAGGGUAAUGGCCUACCAAGCCGACGAUCUUUAGCUGGUCUGAGAGGAUGAUCAGCCACACUGGGACUGAGACACGGCCCAGACUCCUACGGGAGGCAGCAGUGGGGAAUAUUGGACAAUGGGCGAAAGCCUGAUCCAGCAAUACCGCGUGAAUGAUGAGGGCCUUAGGGUUGUAAAGUUCUUUUAGUUGGAAAGAUAAUGACGGUACCAACAGAAAAAGCCCCGGCUAACUCCGUGCCAGCCGCCGCCGUAA